This is a long non-coding RNA of Bombus pascuorum, 3721 nucleotides long. RefSeq lists it as uncharacterized. The record is from RefSeq and is a predicted model, not a curated record. The transcript is spliced from 5 exons. Lineage: Eukaryota; Metazoa; Arthropoda; Insecta; Hymenoptera; Apidae.
AACUGAUCGUCGAUCCCUUUUCUAAUGCGCUUUUAUACAUGGCCGCCAAUUCUGCCCUUGUAAAUCCAAGUACUUCUGGAUUUUUUACUUUGGUAACGAUCGGAAUGUGAGGCUGAAAAAUCAGAGGUUCACGCUCGUAAUGGAAAUACCAUGUUACGGAUGUGCGUAACAAACACUCGCGGUCAGUAUGUUCGCAAUUGUACUAGCAGGGAUGGACUGCACGAAUAUCCUCGACUAACUCGUUCCCCACCAGGUAUUCGAGGAAUUCAUGGUUAUUGGUGAUUCCAUAGACAUGUGAUAGAAUAUAACAGAUGUGCUCGAAACCAUCAAGUUUUCAAAUACACAUAAAUUGGGCAACACGAGAGAUUAUUAAAUGACUCGUAAGAAAAAUGGGAACAGUACAGUAAACCAGUUCAGAGGAAACAAGCGACAAGAUUAAGUGCAAUCGUGAUCUGGAAUCUUUUGCUUUUUGACGUAGAUCGUAGGAUGCCAUCAAGUUCGUUAAAAGGAAACUUGCAUGGAUGCUUGAACACAAGCAAAAGCGAGAAUCGUGUAUAUAAUACAUAUAUAUUUCUUACGUUGUGGUAAUACUUUUUGUUUUAAGCGAGAGACAAUUGGUAUAUGGGUAUUAGUAUUUUAAUUAAGAAAGUUGUUUUAAUAUUUGAUUUAUUUUAAAAACGGCAUAUGAGAUGGUAAUAAUGUAUAUGGGACAAUAUAAUAAUGGGAUAGUAAUUUCCUAGAAGAUAUAGUUUAUAACAUCCUGCUCGUAUAAAAUCUAUGUCGUGAUUAUAAUUGUCAUUAGUUUAUUAUGCAAAUCAUAGUGUAAGUUCUCGAUGUAGACCGUGUACAAUAAACGAUGAAGGAAUUGCGGUUCACUGAGUGGACCUGCGAGGAGCCGUUAGAUGGUAACCAAUGAUUUUCUUUAAUUAUGUUCGUCCACCGUAAUUACUCGUCUAGAUUACAAUACUGAUAUUUCCCACUUUCUACAUUAUAUACUUCUCGUUAUAAAAUUAAAUUGCUCUAAUUUCCUAUAAUGAUAAAUAUCGAUAAUAUUACAAUAAAAACGAUUAAAUAGUUAUGUAUACCAAUACUAAUGAUGUUUGUAGCUUAAAAUUUACAUAACGGUACAUUAACCCGUGGGAUUGAAAAUUACUAGAUCCGCGAAUAGAUAAUAAAUAAUAAUUAAAUAUUAUAUACACAUACAUUCAGAAUGAAAUUUAAUUUUGUGAGUCUAUAAAUUACACGAAGAAAUUUAUACAAAAGUAGUUUUAAAUUUUCGUUGGACGAAUGUGAAAAGAAUGUACCGUAAUGUUUCAUGUCCUGUUAUGUUAGUAAAAGAAGGGGGAGGAAAGGAAAACGAAAAUUGCUCGUAUAGUUCGUUAUUGUGUCAUGUAUUUCCUUUCACAUCGAGUGCACCGUUACCGAUAUCGCUUUACAAUUUUUUUUUCUUUUCAUACAAAAAGAUGAUUCGAUAAUCAGCGCCGCUACAUCAUUUUUGUGGUUCGUCAAUUAUCUUCGCACGAGAUCGGCGAACGAUCAAUUGUCAUUACACGUAUUUCAUAGAUAUAAUAUAUAUAAUAUAUAUAUAUCUUCAUCUUUAGCAUAACCUCCCUCUUAUAAAGUGAAUAUCAUACAAAAUCUUAGGCUAUACGUAAUUUAACUUUUAAUCCUCCGUUACAUACGAACAUAAUGCACUAAUUCAAUACGCGGAUGAAUUUCAAUUUUAUUUCUCUUACACGAUUUCAUUUACAAAAAAAAAUUCUACUUAUGGGUUAACGAACCGGAUUGGAGACGACGGUGGUAGGCCCUCUUUUUAGAGCGUUUACAUUUUUCUUUACGAAAUAUACGAAGCACAGAAACUGUUCUUUUCUUUUGAAUUAGACCUGGUGCAGACGAGCUAUUGCGAUGUUAUUGCGAUUACGCAGCAGUAUACAAAGUUAUUGUUGCGAUUCAAUUAUGUAUAUAUAUUUUUAAUAAUGCAAUGCACAUAGGUGUGCGUUCCCGCUAUUAAUUCUUUCGUUUCUAACGUUGACUGUAAUCAGCAUCCAUGCGAGGACCUGUGAAUACGAAUGUCGACCAUAGUUAGCACGCAUAUAAUAAAACAUACUAACGCCGAUUAUAGUAAUGAUUUAUUCGGUAACAAUUAUGUUACGUUCUGUAGUUAUUGUUUUGAUUCUGUGUUCGAUUAUGUAUUAAAAAUACGGUUCUUUCGGAAUAAUUCGGAAGCAAUUCGUUAAUGGUAUAUAUAUGUUAAUUUCUUCAAUGUUGAAAGGUAUAAUUUUAUUUAACUCUUCUUUUCUAUGCAAAUAUUAAUGCAAACGAAUAUUCGCGGAGCGCGUUUCUCUACUAUAGAGGAACCAUAUUCGCAGUUAUAUGGAUUGUAAAGACAGGGUUAAAAAUAUAAUAUUACUGAGAAUCGCACACAGAGUUACCGCUACGAAAUCUCAACAAUAUUGAAUAGCUUAUUUGCACGUGGUCUUACACCCGUCAAUUAUAGACGGAAUGUCGAUUGCCGCUAAAUCGACUUGAACUUUGUCACGUAAUUUGUUCACGUGCGCGCGCAGUUACGGUUACUACGCGCAUCAGUUCCGGCUGUUCAGCACCGUUCGAUAUCGAACACGAAAAUUUAAAGAGCCGUUCGUGUAUUAUAAUUUCUGAUAUUUGACGGUGAACUUAACCGUAGUUAGUUAAAAAUAUGCCUUAAAAGAAUACAUUAUAUACAGAACAAAAGAAUACCGUUACAAAAGAUUAGUGCCCAAGUUGAUUGAAAGUGAUACUCGAUAAAGAUUUACAUUUUUUUUUUCAGAAUCACGGUAUAUGAUUCUACGAUGAAAGACUAUUCUUUGAAAAGAUCUGGUUUCAGUUCGUUCGCACAUUGAAUUCAGAUCACGAACUGAUCAAUUAAUAAUUUGCAUCAAUUUCUGAGAAUUGUUUGUGCGAUUAUUAUAAACAACGAUGGAGAUUAUAUCGCUAGUAAUUUCGCCUAAAAUAGGCCGAGAUAGGUUUUUAUCUUUCUUUUCUUGCUUCUAUCCUUAUCGUUUAAAUUGAGUAUCGGUAUACAAAAAAUUGUAAAUGUAAUUUUAUAGUAAUCUUAGAUUAACAUAAAGAAAGACGUACAUAUUGAAUGUACAUUACAGAUCGAUCUAAGAAUUAAUUGCUAGUCGUGUAAGUAGAUGAACAUAAAUGUACGCUAUACUGUAUACUAAAAAUGAAACAACGACGAUUCAUAGCACAUCUUUACGUACACAAUUCGAGCGGAAACUUAUAUAUAUGUAUUUGUACAUGGCAGCACGAUAUUUUUAAACGAACGUCGCAAGUAUACUUAUCCUUAAUUAUCAGAAUCCUCUACUUGACGGUACAGUCAUUGAAUAAAUAAAAAUUACAGAGUUCGAUAUAAGCUACGUGUCGGAAAAAAUAAAAUUUAACAAUAUGUCUAUACAUGUCGCUAACGAAUUAGAUUGUGUAAAAUAUUUUAUUGCUAUGUUUACAGAGUAAGCAGUACCUCGUUAAAAUCUCAACGCAAAGGUUGCAACGAUAAUACCUAAUUAUAAAGAAUACUUUUGAUAAUACUUUUUUGUAUUAUCUGUCUACAAUAUUUCCUCCGCCAUUAAGAUUUCAUAACGAGAGAAAAUAAUCGGAAAUAUAAAACGAAGUAUACAUAUAUAGGGUGAUGUGUCUUGAUCCAUUAAUGAAUACAUAUUGGACAAAAUCAUUAAUUCGA